AUGGUUGUUUAUUAUGCAUCAAUGUCCUUAAAAUUGAAUUCAAUGCUCGUUUUUAGUGUACAUGAUUGGACUACUUUCUGUCAUCACUGCUUUUAUAAGUACUGCUGUCUUAUACAAAGAAUAGAGUGUAUAUAUACAAACACAUGCGCCAGAUGCCAUUGCCACAUCCCUUAUAUUUUCCUCCAUACCUUUGAACAUAGUUCUAAUUGAUGCUUAAAAUCUGUGUCUGCUAGUUCACAAGGUGGGUCAUAUCAACAUUUAUGCUCAUUGAUUGCAUUUUAUCUUAAAUAUGGGCCACAAAUUCCUGCUUUUUCAUGUCUAAUAAAUUUGGAUUAUGUUCUGGACAUUUUGAAUAAUAUAUUGUGGAGUCUCUGGAUUCUAUUAUGUUCCAUGGAAAAGCACAAAUAUUUUGUUUCAUGGCUGAACUCAAACUCCAAGCCCUGCAAUCUCAUUUCACUUAUUUUAGCCUUAACUGAGCUGUUUAGAGUCUUUCCAGCACAUCCAUAGUUCAGAGGUCAGCUAGAGACUUGAAUAGAAUUUAUAUACCAGAUGUGCAGUUCCCUGUCUGUAACUCUCUCUUCUCCAGGGCUCUUCCCCCUUCACUUUCCAGUUGCUGAGUUUACUCUGGACUCAUUCUUUGCUUUCUCAUGCCAGAUAGACUGUAGGUUCAUUUCUAUAUUUUAGCAAACCAGCCUGGCCUGAUUACUUAAAAAUGUAACUGUGAAUGUUACUCAGUGCCUUUUACUUCUGCCAGGUAUGGAUCCCCCUCCUUGCUUUGUUUUGUUCAGUCUGUAGUAUCUUUAUGUAGUUGGUUGUUUAUAUAUUCCCAGAGUUUAGAGAUGCCCCUUGCAGGAAGUGUGGAUCAAUAGGAAUUACUAGGCCAUUACUAAAGCAGAAACUUUUUUCCAUUAGAAUUAAUAAGCUUCACAGGAUAAUAUAACUAUAUAUCAUAAGUGGUUUAAAUUCCCACUCAUAGCUUCUAAAUAUUCUUAAGGGCUUAUUUCAUAUUGACCAUCAUUUGACUCCAGCCUGUGCGUUUAUUCAUGCUUUCUCUGUUUUCCCUUGCACCAGUUUUGGUUUUAAACCUAACCUCUGCAAUAAUUUUCAACAAAAAGUAAUUUAAAAAAAAACAACAAAACCAAUAAUUUUUCUGAAAGCAAAUAGCAUCCCCUGCCCAUUGUCCUGCCUUUUGCUAGUCUCCAUACUCUCCUCAUUCUGGGUCCCACUCCAUACUUUAUGAAUGGUAAUUUUGCCCCACUUAGAGAUUUUGGUACCAAAAAUAUUUGAGUAGACCAGUGGUCUUAGCAAAGAACUCUUUCAAACAAAUGUAAAAUUGUUCCUAAAAGAAAUUAUUGUCUCAAGUCCAAAUAGAAUUGAAAAAUUCAAUUGU
Molecule: long non-coding RNA, 1390 nt
Filed under: Lynx canadensis (Canada lynx)
Lineage: Eukaryota; Metazoa; Chordata; Mammalia; Carnivora; Felidae
Description: lncRNA (ENSLCNG00005019933.1)
Source: RNAcentral